RNAcentral lists this long non-coding RNA (304 nucleotides) under Homo sapiens (human). Its description in RNAcentral is "non-protein coding lnc-MTERF1-1:3". Lineage: Eukaryota; Metazoa; Chordata; Mammalia; Primates; Hominidae. The record is from RNAcentral.
GAAGUUUCGACACACCUCCUUUAAUAAAGGCCCAUAAAAGCCCUGGAUUCAGCCAGACGAGGAUACAAUGGGACGGCUAGCUGCGGAGAGAAGCUACCUGCUCAAGAGUCUCCCUUUUGCUGAGAGCUGAGUAGAUGACGAAACAACCUGUGUGGAGAGAGGAGCUCCUCACUCCAGGGUCUCCUCUCUGCUCAGAGCUGAACACUCACUGGGACACCCUGGCUGUGGAGAGGAGCUACCCUCUGUGGGUCUCCUCUGAGCUGUUCUGUCACCCAAUAAAACUCCUCUUCACCUUGCUCACCCU